This 253-nucleotide ribosomal RNA is filed under the name uncultured bacterium. RNAcentral's name for it is "partial 16S ribosomal RNA". It matches the Rfam family "Bacterial small subunit ribosomal RNA", at positions 524 to 776 of the family's 1533-position model. The record is from RNAcentral.
UACGUAGGGUGCAAGCGUUAAUCGGAAUUACUGGGCGUAAAGCGUGCGCAGGCGGCUAUGCAAGACAGAUGUGAAAUCCCCGGGCUCAACCUGGGAACUGCAUUUGUGACUGCAUGGCUAGAGUACGGCAGAGGGGGAUGGAAUUCCGCGUGUAGCAGUGAAAUGCGUAGAUAUGCGGAGGAACGCCGAUGGCGAAGGCAAUCCCCUGGGCCUGUACUGACGCUCAUGCACGAAAGCGUGGGGAGCAAACAGG